UCCUCUCACGUUUGCGUACUUGUUCUACAUCGUCCUUCUUACACAUUUGUUGCCACCUGUGUCUACUAUACUAGAAGGAGCCAUGUGGCUCAAAAACGCGGUGAUGCAAAUCUUCCUUGUCCGUGGAGUUGGCAUUCAAUAAAAAAGGACAAUAAAGUGAUCACCCCAGGUGCAAAAAAUCAUGCUAGAGCUAAAGGGCAAGAAGACAAUUCUAAAGACAUUGAUGACCUGAAGCUUCAAGAUUUUCUUCAGGUCAUGCAACCUCGCGCAAAGUCUAAGCUGUGGGCAAACGAAACUACAGUUGUAUCCAAUGAUGGUAACAACCAAGCAACAUUGAAUAAGGAGACCAACGGUACAUCAAUUGCAAACUAUCCUAUCUUAAGUGACAGACAAGUAGUUGGAUUACCAAAUAAUCCCGAAUCUGACAAGUCACGUGAGCUUAAUCAUGAUGGAGUGAUGUCUGAUAUUGAUUAUUUCAAGAAUAAAGUGACAACAGAUUGGUCCGAUUCUGAAAGCAGUGAUGAUGGAAAUGACAAUGUCACGAGUGAUUCAGAAUUUGCUGUCCAUGAUGACAAAGAUAACCGUAGCCCAGCUAGUGAAUGUGAAGAAAAUUGUGGUAAUAACCCUUCCGAAGUGGUGCCCAAGAGUUAGAUCUAGAGGGCCAAGAAGAUAUUUUCGGAGAGGAUGUUGCCAAUGAUAAGUCUCAAGGGACUGCAACCGAGGAAGAGGAGAAAUUAUCAAAUCCAGAAGUUAAGAAAGAAGUUCCUGAGUCGUGUCGACUGUUUGGAGGAAGAACUGGAAGAGUAUUUCAGUCAGUUUGGAAGUGUCUCACAGGUUCAUUUAGUUGUUGAUAAGGAAACAAAACGAUCCAAAGGAAUAGCUUAUAUUCAUUUCUCAGUUCCAGAUUUUGCAGCCAGGGCGUUAGAAGAGUCGGACAAUUCAAUCAAUGGACAACGUUCAAACAAUGAAGAGAAAAUUGUUUCCAAGGAACAAAAACUCUCAAACAACGAAGAGAAGAAGAAAGGAAAGUAGCCGAAGCUAGUGGAGAUACCAGAGCAUGGAAUAGCCUGUUCAUGCGCCCUGAUACAAUUGUAGAAAAUGUUGCUCGGAAAUAUGGUGUUAGUAAAAGUGAUUUACUGGAUCGAGAAGCUGAUGAUCUUGCUGUACGUAUUGCUCUGGGAGAAACACAAGUGAUUUCAGAAACAAAAACGCAUUUAAAAAAGCUGGAGUGAAUGUGGAAGCUUUGGAGGAGCUUGCGAAGGGUAAAGUUGAUGGCUUGAAAAGAAGUAACCAUGUAAUUUUAGCGUAGAACUUGCCUUAUGGUGCCACCGAAAAUGAACUUGCAAAGAUUUUGGGGAAAUUUGGUAGUUUGGAUAAAAUAAUUCUCGCCUCGACAAAAACAUUGGCCUUGGUUGUUUUCCUUGAACCAACAGAAGCUAAAGCUGAUUUUACAGGUUUAGCUUACAAGCGUUACAAGGAUGCUCCCAAUUGUAUGGCAGACAUCUUG
Molecule: long non-coding RNA, 1507 nt
Organism: Medicago truncatula (barrel medic)
Lineage: Eukaryota; Viridiplantae; Streptophyta; Magnoliopsida; Fabales; Fabaceae
Exons: 9
Source: RefSeq, a predicted model, not a curated record